UUGGGUUUAGACCGUCGUGAGACAGGUUAGUUUUACCCUACUGUUUAUAUUAUUAAGAAAAGUUAUAUAGUACGAGAGGAACAAUAAGUGAUGACCUCUGGUGUAGCGAUUAAUUAUUCAAUUAUGUUGCAAAACUACGUCAUGAAUAAUAAAUGCUGAAAGCCUCUUAAGCAUGAAGUUAAUCUUAAUGAUAAACAACUGAGGAAUACUACCUCUUUGAAGAGUGGGACUGUAAGAAUGAGGUGUAUACCGACAUUUUGAGGUUACCAUUUCGUUCUGUAUAAAAAUA
This 289-nucleotide ribosomal RNA is filed under the name Nosema sp. CPP. Its description in RNAcentral is "partial large subunit ribosomal RNA". It matches the Rfam family "Archaeal large subunit ribosomal RNA", at positions 2674 to 2987 of the family's 2987-position model. The record is from RNAcentral. Lineage: Eukaryota; Fungi; Microsporidia; Nosematidae.